AAAGGAUAAAACGAGUUUGAAAGCUUGACACUUGAUUAUUCAUGAUGCAUUGUUAGUUUUAGU
This 63-nucleotide small RNA is filed under the name Arabidopsis thaliana (thale cress). RNAcentral's name for it is "ATSL158920". The record is from RNAcentral. Lineage: Eukaryota; Viridiplantae; Streptophyta; Magnoliopsida; Brassicales; Brassicaceae.